AUACGGAGGAUCCGAGCGUUGUCCGGAUUUACUGGGCGUAAAGGAUGCGUAGGCGGAUAUUUAAGUGAGAUGUGAAAUUCCCAGGCUUAACUUGGGAGCUGCAUUUCAAACUGGAUAUCUAGAGUGCGGGAGAGGAGAAUGGAAUUCCUAGUGUAGCGGUGAAAUGCGUAGAGAUUAGGAAGAACACCAGUGGCGAAGGCGAUUCUCUGGACCGUAACUGACGCUGAGGCAUGAAAGCGUGGGUAGCAAACAGGAUUAGAUACCCUGGUAGUCCACGCCGUAAACGAUGAGUACUAGGUGUAGGAGGUAUCGACUCCUUCUGUGCCGCAGUUAACACAAUAAGUACUCCGCCUGGGAAGUACGAUCGCAAGAUUAA
RNAcentral lists this ribosomal RNA (376 nucleotides) under uncultured bacterium. Its description in RNAcentral is "bacterial SSU rRNA". It matches the Rfam family "Bacterial small subunit ribosomal RNA", at positions 523 to 897 of the family's 1533-position model. The record is from RNAcentral.